AGUGAACGCUGGCGGUAGGCCUAACACAUGCAAGUCGAACGGCAGCACAGUAAGAGCUUGCUCUUACGGGUGGCGAGUGGCGGACAGGUGAGGAAUACAUCGGAAUCUACUUUUUCGUGGGGGAUAACGUAGGGAAACUUACGCUAAUACCGCAUACGACCUACGGGUGAAAGCAGGGGAUCUUCGGACCUUGCGCGAUUGAAUGAGCCGAUGUCGGAUUAGCUAGUUGGUGGGGUAAAGGCCCACCAAGGCGACGAUCCGUAGCUGGUCUGAGAGGAUGAUCAGCCACACUGGAACUGAGACACGGUCCAGACUCCUACGGGAGGCAGCAGUGGGGAAUAUUGGACAAUGGGCGCAAGCCUGAUCCAGCCAUACCGCGUGGGUGAAGAAGGCCUUCGGGUUGUAAAGCCCUUUUGUUGGGAAAGAAAAGCAGCAGGUUAAUACCCCGCUGUUCUGACGGUACCCAAAGAAUAAGCACCGGCUAACUUCGUG
Molecule: ribosomal RNA, 492 nt
Filed under: uncultured bacterium
Lineage: Bacteria
Description: partial 16S ribosomal RNA
Rfam family: Bacterial small subunit ribosomal RNA
Source: RNAcentral